UGGGGAAUAUUGCACAAUGGGCGCAAGCCUGAUGCAGCCAUGCCGCGUGUGUGAAGAAGGCCUUCGGGUUGUAAAGCACUUUCAGCGGGGAGGAAGGCGAUAAGGUCAAUAACCUUGUCGAUUGACGUUACCCGCAGAAGAAGCACCGGAUAACUCCGUGCCAGCAGCCUCGGUAAUACGGAGGGUGCAAGCGUGAAUCGGAAUUACUGGGCGUAAAGCGCACGCAGGCGGUCUGUCAAGUCGGAUGUGAAAUCCCCGGGCUCAACCUGGGAACUGCAUUCGAAACUGGCAGGGUAGAGUCUUGUAGAGGGGAGUAGAAUUCCAGGUGUAGCGGUGAACUGCGUAGAGAUCUGGAGGACUACCGGUGGCGAAGGCGGCCCACUGGACAAAGACUGACGCUCAGGUGCGAAAGCGUGGGGAGCAAACAGG
Molecule: ribosomal RNA, 429 nt
Filed under: Chloroflexota bacterium
Lineage: Bacteria; Bacillati; Chloroflexota
Description: Chloroflexi bacterium partial 16S ribosomal RNA
Rfam family: Bacterial small subunit ribosomal RNA
Source: RNAcentral